This 465-nucleotide ribosomal RNA is filed under the name Vreelandella stevensii. RNAcentral describes it as "partial 16S ribosomal RNA". It matches the Rfam family "Bacterial small subunit ribosomal RNA", at positions 338 to 795 of the family's 1533-position model. Lineage: Bacteria; Pseudomonadati; Pseudomonadota; Gammaproteobacteria; Oceanospirillales; Halomonadaceae. The record is from RNAcentral.
CCUACGGGAGGCAGCAGUGGGGAAUAUUGGACAAUGGGCGAAAGCCUGAUCCAGCCAUGCCGCGUGUGUGAAGAAGGCCUUCGGGUUGUAAAGCACUUUCAGUGGGGAAGAAAGCCUUGGGGCUAAUACCCUCGAGGAAGGACAUCACCCACAGAAGAAGCACCGGCUAACUCCGUGCCAGCAGCCGCGGUAAUACGGAGGGUGCGAGCGUUAAUCGGAAUUACUGGGCGUAAAGCGCGCGUAGGCGGUCUGAUAAGCCGGUUGUGAAAGCCCCGGGCUCAACCUGGGAACGGCAUCCGGAACUGUCAGGCUAGAGUGCAGGAGAGGAAGGUAGAAUUCCCGGUGUAGCGGUGAAAUGCGUAGAGAUCGGGAAGAAUACCAGUGGCGAAGGCGGCCUUCUGGACUGACACUGACGCUGAGGUGCGAAAGCGUGGGUAGCAAACAGGAUUAGAUACCCUUGUAGUC